This 781-nucleotide unclassified non-coding RNA is filed under the name Apis dorsata (giant honeybee). Its description in RNAcentral is "uncharacterized LOC116185015, transcript variant X5". Lineage: Eukaryota; Metazoa; Arthropoda; Insecta; Hymenoptera; Apidae. The record is from RNAcentral.
CGUCACAUUCCAAGUCACAGAAUGGUCAGAAUGUUUGCUUUUCCUCGUUCGACGAAUUUCACGAGCGUUGUUUUCACUCCGGGAAGUCGUGUAUGGAAAAAAAGGCAGCAAGGCAAGCAGCUAAGGCUUGACCGAAAGGUACUGGCGACGGUGCUUUUAAAGCUGUACCGCGUGUUUGUUUGCGGCCCGUGUUAAUUCGUCGUACAAAUAACCGGCGACGGCCCUCGGACCACGAACGAUUCGUAGCCGUUGCAAAUGAUCAGUUCCUCGCGGGCAAUACGUGUAACUGCAUUGCGUUUCACCGUUCCAUCGCGUGAUCUUUGAAAAAAGGCAAAUGAAUGCCUCUCGGUGUGCUGGGUGAAGUGAUGUCUUAAGCAGUGGAUGCUUCGUAUCGAAUACGCUAGUUGUUUGCGAUGGAUUAUCGAGUUCGUUCCGCAACGAAAAUACAUCGGAUUAUACGCAGCCAUUAUCCAUCGAAACACACUUGAAAUCGUGGAGAAGAACGAAACAAGUCAAUACGUGUGGAGGUUUACGACGUCGGGGUUGGAAAUCAACGAAGAGAACGGCCGCGUCGCAAUAGGGAGACCACUCGUGCUCGGGAGUGUCGAAUGAAUGAUACGCAAACAGUAUUGGAUCAUUUUGAAUCUGCGGGGACGAUCCACUCGCUAUGGCGUCAAUUUUCUUCCCGACGUUUGGAGAAAUCUUCUUUGAGAGUUGGCAUCUUGCGUCUUUUUUUCACGUUUCCAAGGGGGAGGAGAAGGAGGAGGAGGAGGAGGAGGAG